CAACAAAGGAAAAACGAUAUUAGACAAUUCUUUACAAGAACCACAUAUGUAAAUAUGUGUUUGUUAUUAAAAUCCUAUCUCCCGUUUGAGGGAGCGGAAGAGCACGGGCACAAGACCUCGGUUUCCACUUCCCGCCUGUGGAAGUUCCUGUGGCAGCCGCAGGCUGCGCAGAUGAGUUCACUGCUGGUUCCCUCUUGGCCGCUCGCCAUGAACUCCCUACACCCAUCAACAGCAUGCCCUCCAAUGCCUGCAGCGUGAUUCUUCUGGCACUCUCCAUACCUCACACUCCUCACUGUCAAAGAUGAAUUAGUUGAUCUUCUUGACGGCUCAUUUCUCCUCAGCACAACUUGCCGGUGCCUCAUUCUACAAAAUCCCAAUUCUUCUCUACCUUCUUCUUCUCCAAACCCUCCAAGAAAACAGCUGUAGUUCUUCAAUUAUUUCACAGGCCCAGAAUCAGAAGCUGGCAUAGAAGAGAAGGACAGAGAGAUCGAGGGAUAUGGGGGAAGUGGGAAACUCGUUCCGAGUUUGUUCUUGCAUACCCUAACCCUAGAAUGCGUAUUUAUAGCCUGUAACCCUCUUAUUAGGGAGUUAAUCUUUAUUGCAAAUAAGAAAAGCCCCAUUACUAACUUUUACUUUAUUCUUAUUCUUAUUGUAAUUUACCGAUGUCAUUUUCUGUAAUUUACUCUCCAAAAACCCUAGAGUGGUCGAUGUGAAUUGAUCGUCCAACUGCCCUACAUCUCAUUGUCACGAAUAAAAACGAUUCCCACGUAACCACGGCAAAACCAAAAAUGAUGAGAAAACCUUUCGCUUGGCCCAUUACAGUGACUAGAUUCUAACAGAAUGACCAGCUAAGCACCCUUUUUUAAUUUAAAGCUCCAUGCCCCUAAAUAGUAAUGCCAUGCUCUUACAUUUUUCUUUCUGUUUUUCUCUUUAUAAUAUAAAGUUGUCAGGGCGGAAAUUCCUUCGUUCAUGGAAAAUACCCAUAGUGAAGGGAUAUUGUAUUAUUAUUAUUAUUUUUGCAAUAAUCUCCACUACAAGGAAAAAGAUAUAUGGUGACAUUUAUAAUAAGUCACUAUAAACAUAGGGUGUCACUACAACAUAGCGUCACCUUAUCCACUGACACCAUAGAGGGUAUCAAUUGGUGACGUAUUUGGAAGCGACACCAAAGCAGAUAAAUGGUGACACAUUCAGAAGAGACACCAUAUAUUUUUAGUGAUGCUUAAUUUGAUAUAGAGUUGUAUGAGAUAUAUAAGGUGUCAUAUUAAAUGCAUCAUCUUUGAGUUAUGGUGUCACGUUAAAUGUAUCACCUUUAAUUUAUGGUGUCACAUCAUUGUAAAUGAUUAUGGAAGAUAUGGUUGUUUUUUGUUGAUUAGUUUGUAGAUUUUUGUAAUGCUUAUUAAUAAAUAAGACUAACAUGUGUAAAUUGUCCAUAAAUAUAAUAAUCAUAUUACAUUUAACUUAUAUUUUCAUAAUGCUUAUGAAUUAAUUUGUAACAUAUUACAUCAUCCAAUAAUAUUUGUAUAUCAAAUGUUCACAAAAUGAUAGUACAUCAAACACAUCAAACCCACCAAAACUAAAAAAGAAAAGUAAAUACACAUUAAAACAUGAUUUAGAAAUGUUAAGCUUCCCAACAUUCAUGUAUAUAUACUUGCAUUUCAUAUGCAUAAAACCGGUUAACCAUAAAAUGACACAAGAGUUGCAUCCAAAAACCCAAAAUUCUCAAUUCCAAAUAAAGUAACAUUUAUGUCCUAUAAUGUAUGACAUAAGAGUCAUAUCUAAAAACCUAAAUCUUGUUGCCUCUUUCUCCUUUCUUUUUAUUCUUCAUAUUGUCCUCCCAAGAGUGUAUACCUGUAUUUCAUAGUUUAAUGAGUUUUAGAGUUCUUAUUGAAAAUAAAAAUGUGAUGUUAUAAACAAUAAACAAAUCUAAGUACUAAUGUUUUCUUUUUCUUUUUCCUUUUUCUCAUUUUGGUAUAAAAAUAGUUCAUAAAGAAUAAGUAAUGUUAUACAAUAUCAAUGGAAAAUUCAAUCAUAUAACAACUAAGGGACUUACCAUGAAUGAUCACGAUACAUCAAUAUGAUUCAUGAUUAGUUAUAACACAAAAUUAAUCUAUUUUUCUCUAAUUUCAUCAAAUUCUACUUGAGAAUAUGUUUUAUUUGUCAUCAAACUGAAAUCAAAUGAGAAUAACAUUAAUAUCACAAUAAUUGAAAGUAUAAAAUUAUGUACAAUUCAUUAAACGAGUAAAACCUUUGAUGCAAUAACUGUAAAAUCAACAAUUAUUUCUUUAAUGAAUCUCAUAACAAAGUAGUCAUAUUUGAACUCAGUAUUAUUUUUUUACUAUUAAAUUAUUUUUAAACAAAAUAACAAUUAUUAAUAUAUUGGUUCAUUUUUAAAUACUUUCAUAAGAAUAUAUUUUAACUACAAGUUAUUUUAAUUUAUCAAAAGAUUUUUAGGAAAUGAGCUAUUAUCCAUUUAUUAUUUUCUUAUUUUUCAAAAAAUAUUUUCAGUCAUUUUAUACAUGUUUUCAACUACUAAAAUUAUUGUUUUUGUAGAAUAAACAAAGAAGCAUACACUUCUCCUCCACUCACUAAGUCAACUAUUACAAUCACCAUAAUAUUUUAUUCACUUACCAAUAUCUCAUUCCAUUUAGAUAACUCUCUCAACAAAAUCAUUUCUACAAUACUUUUUACUCUCCUAUGAUAUUGAAUAUUUUAUUCCAUUUAGGUGACUCUCAACACAAAGAAAAGUAGGAAUGUCUUCUUAGGUUAACUAAACAAAAACUUUUUUUUUUACUUUACAAUAUGUAUGAAAAAAACAAUUAUUUAUUACAAGGAAUGUGGUACAAAGGUCAUUUCAUUUUUAAAGAAUUUUUUAGAAUUUCUUAAACAUUUACAAAAAAUAGAAUCUAACAAUUUUAUUUCUAAAAAAAUUGAUCAAUUCAAAAAAGAAAGAAGAAUGUUAUUUUUUAAGAAAAGUUAAUAAACCAUUUUAUUCUUGAAUUAUCUAAACAAAACUUACUAAAAAAUAUUUUAUCCCAAAUUUAUUUUCAAAACUUUCUUAUUGAAAACUAUCUCAUAUAUAAAUUAUUUUAUUAUAUAGAGAAAUUCUUAUUUUAUUCUUUUUUUAGAGAAAAAUUCACUUGUUUAUUAAAUAUCAAAGAAGUCUAUUUUUAUGUCUAUUACAUAUAUAUAUAUAUAUAUAUAUAUAUAUAUAUAUAUAUAUAUAUAUAUAUAUAUAUAUAUAAAUUCUCUUAUUUUCAUACAAGAAAUUUCCAUUUAUGCCUAAAAUACUUUUAGAAAAAUCAUUGCCAACAAAAUUUUAUUUUUAAAAUUAUUUUCAACAUUCUUAUUUAAAAAAAUUAUCAUUGGAUUAUUUUCAAAAAGGACAGUCCUAAAAAAAUUAACCAUUUAUAACCCAAUUUAAACUCAAAACUUAUCCCCAAUAUUAUUUUAUAUUCCUAAAUUAUUUUCAAACAAAAUAACAAUUAUUAAUAUUUUGAUUCAUUUUUAAAUACUUUCACAAAAAUAUAUUUUAACCACAUAUUAUUUUAAUUUAUCAAAAUAUUUUUAGGAAAUGAGUUAUUUUCCAUUUAUUACUAUCCUAUUUUUCAAAACAUAUUUUCAAGCAUUUCAUUCACAUUUUAAAAUUUCAAAUACUAAAAUUAUUGUUUUUAUAAAACAACAAAGCAUGUAAAUUUCAACUACUAAAAUUAUUGUUUUUAUAGAAUAAACAAAGCAACAUACACUUAUCUUCCAUUUACUAAUUCAACUAUUACAAUCACCCCAAUAUUUUGUUCACCUACCAAUAAUUCAUUCCAUGUAGGUGACUCUAAAAAAAAAAGUCAUAUUUAUAAUACCCUUUACGACUCUAAUACCCAAUAUUCUAUUCUAUUUAGGUGACUCAAUACAAAGAAAGUGGGAAUGUUUUCUUAGGUUAACCGAAGAAAACCCUAAAUAGCUUAAGUGCUUUUGGAUUAAUUGAGUAUCAUCUUGUAGUAGAUGUCAAUCUCUAUUGUUAGACUUCACCAAAAAGCUCCUAGCACGGUGGAAAAAAGUAUCAAAUAUAGUCAAGUCUUCAAUAAAAUACUAUUUCAUGCGAAAAAUUACUACAAACUAGUGUAUCUCUCAUUCUCAAUUAGACAAAAUUUUUAAAAAUAAUUCAUUUUUCUUGUUUUCAUUUGUUUUAGGGCUUAUUAGCAAUGAAACAAAAAAUAUGUUAGAAUGUUAAACCUAGUUUUCACUUCCCUGGAACUCGAUAAAAAACACCAUUUACAAAACCCACAUCAUAGAUAUACUAAAUCAAGAGAUAUAAAACAAUUAUACUAACAAAGUUUUUUGCAUUAAUAAAAAAAAUGAAGAUGGUAGAUAAGAGAUUUUGACUUACCCGAGAUUUUACGAAGCAAAGAAUAUCAAUUAUGGGUGUGCCGACCAUGGGUGUGAGAAGAAGGAGAAGAAAACGAUGGUUAGGGUUAAGCAAUAAGAUCUUUUAUAUUAGUUAAUGUAUAUAUGGAAACAAUGGACUUUUCAUAAAUUGUUCCUACUCACUAUUUUUAAAAAGGGCCCAUUAAGUUAUAAAAUUUAAAACUUUUUAUUUCAUAUGGUGUCACUUCCAAAAAAUGACACCGUAAAUCUGAAAUUAGCAUCAUCUAACUAUCCUAAUUGAAGAUUUUUUAUAUGAUGUGUCACCUUUAUAAAUUUUAAGUUCAAUGGUGUCAUUAUUUUAAAUGCGACACCAUAAAUAGUGACAUCAUAUAUUAUUUUUGUAGUAGUGCUCGACCAUGAAAUGGUUAAAAUUAACUUUCAAUAAUCCUAUAAUUCUUUCUUUAUUUUAAAAUAAAUGAUAGGUGAUCAAUUGUAUUGUUUGGUAUUGUACGGAGUGCUUUUGUGUAAUUUUUUUCUUAAAAGAAUUUUCUUAGUCUAAAUCAGACUCUAAAAGGAAGUUGUGGCAAGAGAUGAAAGCUGAAACUAGGAUUUGAAAGCUAGGAUUGCUAAACCUGUGCCUCUACCUUUUAAGAGAAUCCGACCUCAUGGAACAAAAAAUGUUGCAUGUAUAUGUUGGACUUCGGGUCAUGUUUAACCCAAUUGGAGCGCCAAUAGUGGGUUAAGCCCCAAGUUGAUUGAUAAAUAUUACAUUGAGAUUCUGGUCUUAUCUAAUAAUUUAAGAUAAAAAAGCACAUAUCCUAAUCGACUCGAGUUAAGGAGAUUUUAGGAGAGUCCUUAAAUAAGGGCCUCGACUAAAAAUCACAUAUCUCUUUUUUCAAUACGAAUGUGAAAAAGUCUCUCCUCUCUUUACAUUUCUCUCAUACUCUCUGGAAAGACAAAUUCUCAUAACAUUUUUGAGUUGUGGAUAUUUUUGGUUAUUCGAGUAAUAUUUGAUAGAUGAUGUUAGAGAACAUUAGUUCAAUUGUGCGUUACAAUUGUUGCAUCUAUUGAUUAGUUAGGAUGUAGCUUAGUUAGUUCUUCUUUUGUUACAACAAAUUUCUCAAAUAGUUAUAGACUACUUACUACUUAAAAAUCAUGUGUGUAUGUGGAAUGAAGACAAAUGAUAAAUCUAGAAGGGAUUGAUAAUCCUCUUCUUCCCAUUCUAUUAUAUUUUCUUUCAUUCCAACAUGGUAUUAGAGUAGUACACAUCCACUAUAGGAGACACCUCAAGAACCAACAGAUUUAGCCCUAUCUCCUUCCCCCACCUAAUCUCAUCCAAACUAGACAACAACCUUUUGGUUUGGAGAAAACAAAUACUAACCACAUUAAAAGGACACAAGCUGCAACACUUUCCCUUCGAGUCCUCAUGCUUACCAUUAAGAUUUCUAUCAAUCUGAGGAUGAUGAAGCCCACUAUCACAUAAACCUUGAGUUUCAAAACUAGGAAACAAUAAGAUUAGCUCAUCAUGUCAUGGAUACUUGCAUCCACACGUGUUUAGUGAGUUGUGACACUUCAACCUAGGUAUGAAAGAUUAUUAAUUUAUAUUUUGCUACUCAAGUAUGUUGAGGCAUUGCGUCCCUGGCGAUCCACGUAGUUGCCAAAUGGAUGGACGCACUAUCUCAACCAAUAUAGAUUCCUGGUUCAAUCGUUCCUGCAAAAGGCGUCCGGACAAGGUGUCCGGACACACCUUCCGAUGGUUUUGUCAGCCAUGGUUAGAGAGAAUAAUCAGUUGGUCUUUUACUAGGUAUAACAAGCUUACCUUCCUUUUUGUGUGAAGGUCUAUAUAUAUAGUGUUUAGGAGCUUUGUUUAUCUCUUUAAUGGUAGGGAGAUAUUUUGGUUUGUCAUGAUGCCUCUAAGUGGUGGCAGAGCCAUCAUCACCCUACGGGCGGCUGACAGAGAUCGUGGGAGGCACCGCGGUUGUCAGAGAUCAUUGGAGGUGACUUGCCAUCAUUUCAUUCCUGUCCUUUCACUCUAUAGGUGGCGGAACGUGGGCCGUGGCAGGCUGUUGGAAUGACGUGCAAGACCUGCUUACUUCAGUCAAUGAUCCGGACAAAACAUAUCUAGAUAGGAUAUGUCGGUCGUCCGGAUGUGAUAUGGCGGUCGUCCGGAUGUGAUGUUUUGCGAGUGUCGUGUGCUUCUUCCUGAGGGUGUCCGGAUAGGGAAAGCGCGCCACGUGUCCUCUUAGGGAAAUCCGGAUGGGGAUAAUCCGCAUAGAAAUGUGUGCCACGUGCCACCAGGAAAUGUGUACCACGUGUCAUUAGGGGGAGGGGUCCCUACAAAGUACAUGCCGUAGUAAUUCAAUUCAAGACUCAAUCGCAAACACAAAGAAAUGAGAUCUACUUGUAAAUGAGCUCCAUAAACUAUGCUAUCAUGGUAUAUGAGCUCAAAAUGAGGACCACUAGGACCCAUAGGAGUAUUAACUACUUUAGAAUUCAAUUUUGAAGUUGAUUUAGGAUUCUAUUAAAGAGAAUUAACUACACUCUAAUAUCUUAUGUAAAUAACAAAAAGACAAAGUUUGAGUUGGUGACCUACUAUCCAUUGCAUGCAGAUUUCCUAUGAAUUGAUGCCCAUAAUCUAAUAAGACAAUGUUAUCGCCUAUCAAGAUUACCUCUCCAAUUCAUGAGUUACAAAUCCCACUUAUUAUGUGAUCAAUUGACAUAUUCCAACUCCAAGGAGCAUAUGUCAAAAUUCUACCAAAGAAAAUGUUAUGACCAUAGUUUUUUAAAUCACAUGUUUUUUUGGAUCACCCAAUGGGACACAUUGUCUCAAUCCAUGAGAUAUCAUGGUGUUUUUAUUGAGAAUACUAAUUGUUAUUAGCCUCCGUCAAUAGUGACCUAAUCCAUAGGGAUAUAUGACCACUUUAGGGUCUUACUUACAAGUUAAAACCUCCUAUUGACUUUGACACAGACUCAAUAUUCUUUUCAAGUUGAGAGUCCAUGUGGUAUAGUAACUUGAUGAAUCAUAAUAAUUGAUAGUCUUACGUCAUGAUUCAUUGUAGGUCAUGUCUAGUGUGUAUUACAUAUAUUAGUGCACUCACUAUGGGAAAACUAGCUUAAUAGCCAAAAUAAGUCAUUCUUCUAAUUAAGAGGUAGUGUACUACAAUCUCAGAUGGAUUGCUCAAAUCCAUGAACCAACUAUGACCAACUCAUCACUCUAUACGGAACCUAUGACUUGGAUUCUCUAUGCAAUUCCUAAUGCACUUAAGUCAUAUACAAUGUAAGUGAUGUGAGACAUGUAUGCUCAAAUAACCAAUUAAUGCAAAUGAGAUAAUAAAAAGAAACCAAACAACAUAAAUAAAUAAAUUUAUAAAUGAAUUUUUAUCUAUUACAUCAUGUCAUGUUUUCUAGGGUUCAAUCCUAGCAUUACCAUAUCUACCAUACCACAUUCGAUCAUUGAAGUAUUUAGUCUUAGUCAUUGGAAAUAAGCCAUGCCUGAUGAAUAUUUAGCACUUUUAUGCAACAAUAAUUGAAACCUUGUUCCACUUCCUCCUAAUCACAAACCCAUUGGCUGCAAAUGGGUUGUCAAAAUUAAAGAAAAUCUUGAUGGCACCAUUAAAAAAUACAAAGCCCAACUAGUUGCCAAAGGAUUUCAUCAAAUUGCUGACUUUGAUUUCAAUGAGACAUUUAGUCCAGUUGUAAAACCAACUACCAUCCAAAUUGUUCUUGCCAUUACUUGAGGUAUGUAUCAAAAAGUUCGCCAACUUCAUGUUAAUAAUGUUUUUCUCAAUGGUGACCUUUAAGAAGAAGUUUACAUGUGUCAACCAAUUGGUUUUGUUGAUCCUAAUGCUCCUGACUUUGUGUGCAAACUCACAAAGUUCCUUUAUGGUCUUAAACAAGCUCCUAGGGCUUGGUUUGAGAAGCUUUGCCAAGCUCUUAUUCAUCUUGGUUUUACAUCAACAAAAUUUGAUACAUAUUUGUUUAUUAAUAUUACUUUACAAGAGUACUUUACCUACAUCCUUAUAUAUGUGGAUGACUUUUUACUAACUAAUAACAAUGAGACAUUCCUUUAACAAGUGAUCACUCAAUUCAACCACACUUUUAUCUCAAGGAUCUUGGGGAAGUUAAUUACUUUCUGAGCAUCCAAGCCAAAGCCUCUCUUGUUGGGUUACAUCUAUUUCAAACUAAGUAUGUCUUAAACAUCUACAAAGAACCAAUAUGCUUCAUGCCAAACUGGUUCCCAUACUAUUGGUCCCUAAUUAGCAUUUGUCCGCAUCUAGUACUAAUCAUUUUUUCAACCCUCAGCUCUAUUGAAUCACUAUUGGUGCUCUUCAAUAUGUCACUAUUACUUGCCCAGAGACACAAAUAGUGUUAAUUGUGUAUGUUAAUUUAUGAAAGUUCCUCUCAUUGCUCAUUGGAAAGCUAGAAAACAAAUACUUCACUACUUAGUUGGAACUUUUUACCAUAGACUACAUCUCCAACGAAGCUUCACCUUAUACCUUAAAUUACAUGCUUUGGUGAUGUUUGAUUACUACUCAAAAAGUGCUAUUUGAUAGCCUUUAAUUAAUCCUUUUUAACACUUUUGAGUAGUAGUUUAGGCCUUUUAACUCAAUUGACAUGUUAAGGAUCCUUUAAAGCAAUUUUGAUCACUUUGUGCAAGUUUUGGUGUUUUUGUUAGUAUUGUGAUCACCAAAGCAAGUCAAGAAUGAGGAGAGAUAUGAGGAAUCUUGGGCAAAUCUUAGAAUUCAAUUGCCAAGAGUGAAUCCGGAUUGCAAGGAGAAAAAGCAAAGAGAAUCUGUCAUGGAGCAUAUUCUUGAUGACAGUCGUAGCAGCCACUUUUGGGGCACUUCCUGAAGUCCAAAUGAUGCAAGCUAUAUACCAUUUCAAAGCUCAGGAAGUCAAAAAUCCAAUGCUUCAAACGGUGCGCGAUUUGGAGUUGAAACGAAGAAGUUGCAGCCAUUACAAGCCAGUCACUCUGAAGUGUUGCGGAAUCAGCCUUUUGUUGCGAGAAUUUCGCAACACUUUUGUACAGUAAGGUGUUUCUCCUUCUGACGAUGCACGAACCAUGCCGCGAGAAGGGAGCUGGAAACUUCAAGGUGGAAGCCAACUUCGCAGCCCUAUGAAGACAGCUUGGUCUUGCGAAAUAAUUUCGCAGCCCUCUUGGGUGUCUGCGAAAUUUCGCAGGCACCACUUUUCUCCUGCGAAAUGGCUCCUGAAGCCUCCCGAAGCUUGCUACCGACAUUGGGAGAUAUUUUCCAUUAGAUUUUUGUUGUCUAAAUCCCAAAAUACUCCUUGUAAACCACCAAUUACAUGAUUCCUUAGUUUUUAAGUUAGUAAAAAGACCAAAUAUCUAUGUAACAAUUAGUUUUAUAUUGGUUUGAUAUAAAUACCUCUCGGGAGCCUGUUCUCGGGGAGGAGUUCUUUCGGUAACCAUUUGGUAAGCAAGUAAAGUCUUUUCUUUCUACUGCCUUACAUUCUCACUUUGUAUUUUCAUUUUAUUUCUAAGUUAUGAAUUCUCUGAGGAGUUUUCCCCAGAGAAUGAGUAACUAAACCUCCAAUUCCUUGGAGCUAAGGUUGCCGGGGAAGGUUCCAAGUGCAAGAAUGCAAAGCUCUGUGGUUUUAGCUAGUAAUGAAGAGGAAGUGAAAUCCUUUAGUGAUUUCAAUGUUUUUAGUUAACUUAAAACACCUUGGAGUCACCUAGGCCAACACUUGGUAAGGCAAGUGAUUUCCAACCGUGGAAAUGCACUAGUUUACCCCUUGCGAGCCUCUGGUAGGUGACUUCAAGGUAGGAUUUUCUGGAAUUACCAACACUUGGUAAGCUUUUGGACUCUUAGGAGGCAUCCAUUAGUUAUCUCUUGCGAGUUUGUGAAGGGAAGUCCAAGGUUAAAGAUCACCUUGAAUGGUAAGUGCUCGUGAGAGGCAUGAACCAUUGCAAGUUGCAUCAGUGAGAGAAUUAAAGUGAAAUCUAAUUGAAGGAGUCUCUGUACAUCACCGGUUAGAGACUUGACUCUAAGUUGAAUCUCUAAUGCGAGGAAAUGAACCAUCUGACCGGAGCUAUGUCUUUUGCAUGAGGAACCACCCCAGUGAACCUAAAUCUCCAAGGAAUGCUUUUCUUCCUAAAUUAUUCCAAACUUCUGUUAAGUUAGUUAGUUUAAAUCUCAACCUUUACCAAUCAAAGUUUGUAUUUUAUUUCUUAAACUAACCGUGAAAUGAAACAAAACCAAUUCACUUGGAAUUGGUAUCCUUGAUUGCUUGCAAAUCAUUCCCAGUGAACGAUCCUUAGAGCCACUAUACUAUAGUAGCUUUGUAUUUGCUACCCUAGUGUAUGGUGUUAUAGGUAUAAAUUUUGUUGAUCACUUCCUCAAUCAAGGAGCACCAGCUGAACACAAAUCAGCUGAGACACCAAUUGGGCAUGAGUCAAAUGGCGCCGUUGCCGGGGAAUGAGUGUCAAGUUCAUUGUGAUACCAUUUUUGAGCACUUGUGAUUUUCAUCACAAGUUGGUAAAGUUUCUUUCACUUUACUAAUUUUCAUUCUCUCUUUGUUUAUUUACAAUCUAAGUUUAUCUUUUUAAAAUUUAGUCUAGUUUAAUUUUGUUGUUGUAGCCCUGUUUUUCUUGUUGUCCUCUGUUUUUAUUUAAGUUGUAGCUGAAUACUAGUUGUGUAUGCCCAAGUGGAUACGAGACAGUGGAGGAAGGCUUGUUAAGUGUGAUACACCUCAGAAAGGAGAAUUUGAAGUAAUCUUGAAUAUCAUGGAGGCUGCACCUGAAGAUCAGCAUAGUCACCAAGGUCGUCAAGACAAUCUCAAUGAAUUCAGAUCAAUGAGGGACCGUAUGCAUCCACCUCGUAUGAGUGCACCAUCAUGUAUAGUGCCCCCUACAGAGCAGCUAGUGAUCAGACCAUAUCUUGUUCCACUUCUACCAACUUUCCAUGGGAUGGAAAGUGAGAAUCCGUAUGCACACAUCAAGGAAUUUGAAGAUGUUUGUAAUACAUUCCAAGAGGGAGGAGCUUCAAUUGACUUGAUGAGGCUUAAGUUAUUUCCUUUUACUUUAAAGGAUAAGGCCAAAAUUUGGCUUAAUUCUUUAAGGCCUAGGAGUAUCCGCUCUUGGACUGAUUUACAAGCUGAGUUCCUCAAGAAAUUUUUUCCUACUCAUAGAACAAAUGGCUUGAAAAGGCAAAUUUCAAACUUCUCAGCUAAAGAGAAUGAGAAAUUCUAUGAGUGUUGGGAAAGAUACAUGGAAGCUAUAAAUGCUUGUCCUCACCAUGGCUUUGAUACUUGGCUACUGGUGAGUUAUUUUUAUGAUGGUAUGUCCUCCUCAAUGAAGCAACUCCUCGAGACAAUGUGUGGAGGAGAUUUCAUGAGCAAAAAUCCAGAGGAAGCUAUGGAUUUCUUGAGCUAUGUAGCUGAUGUUUCAAGGGGAUGGGAUGAACCAACUAAAGGAGAAGUGGGAAAGAUGAAGUCUCAGUUGAAUGCUUAUAAUGCAAAAGCUGGGAUGUAUAAUUUGAAAGAAGAUGAUGACAUGAAAGCAAAGUUGGCAGCUAUGACAAGAAGAUUGGAGGAGCUGGAGCUGAAAAGAAUGCAUGAAGUGCAAGCUGUUGCUGAAGCACCAGUGCAAGUGAAGCUGUGUCCCAAUUGUCAAUCAUUUGAACAUUUGGUGGAGGAGUGCCCUGCAAUUUCAGCUGAAAGGGAAAUGUAUAGAGAUCAAGCAAAUGUUGUUGGACAAUUCAGGCCCAAUAACAAUGCUCUUUAUGGAAAUACCUACAAUUCAAGUUGGAGGAAUCAUCCAAAUUUCUCAUGGAAGGCCAGAGCAACUCAAUACCAACAGCCGGAUCCACCAUCUCAGCAAUCUUCAAGUAUUGAACAAAUAAUAGCUAAUCUCAGCAAGGUAGUGGGAGAUUUUGUGGGAAAGCAAGAAGCCACCAAUGCUCGAGUGGAUCAAAGAAUGGACAGAGUGGAUCAAAGAAUGGACAGAAUGGAGAGUAUGUUGAACAAAAGAAUGGAUGGAAUGCAAAAUGAUAUGAAUCAAAAAUUUGAUAACAUCCAAUAUUCAAUCUCCAGGCUUACAAAUUUGAAUACACUGCAAGAAAAGGGAAGAUUUCCUUCUCAACCUAACCAAAAUCCCAAAGGUGUCCAUGAAGUGGAAAGCCUUGAGGGAGAAUCAUCACAGGUGAAAGAUGUGAAGGCUUUGAUCACUCUAAGGAGUGGUAAGAAAAUUGAGCAGCCAACACCUAAGCCACAUGUUGAGAAAGAAGAAGAGAUAAAGAAAUGGAAGGAAAUGGAAGAUAAAGAGAGUGAGAUCAGUGAAGAAAAGAAGGAAUCUGAUUCAACAAUCAAAGCAAUUCCAGAGAAAGAGCUUCUGAAGGAAGAAAUGCUGAAGAAAUCAACUUCUCCACCUUUUCCUCAAGCAUUACAUGGGAAAAAGGGGGUUAGAAAUGCAGCUGAAAUCCUAGAAGUAUUGAGGCAAGUGAAAGUUAAUAUUCCACUGCUGGAUAUGAUCAAACAAGUUCCAACGUAUGCAAAAUUCCUAAAGGACUUGUGUACUAUCAAAAGAGGGUUGACUGUAAACAAGAAAGCCUUCUUGACUGAGCAAGUAAGUGCAAUCUUACAGUGUAAGUCUCCUUUGAAGUACAAAGACCCUGGAAGUCCUACCAUUUCAGUCAUGAUUGGAGGAAAGGUAGUGGAGAAAGCCUUGCUAGACUUGGGAGCAAGUGUGAAUUUGCUUCCAUACUCUGUCUACAAGCAACUAGGACUUGGAGAGUUGAAGCCAACAGCAAUCACUUUAUCUUUGGCAGAUAGAUCAGUGAAAAUUCCAAGAGGAGUAAUUGAGGAUGUAUUGGUUCAAGUAGAUAAUUUCUACUAUCCUGUAGAUUUUGUUGUUCUUGAUACUGAUCCAACUGUAAAGGAAGCUAAUUUAGUUCCUAUCAUCCUUGGAAGGCCAUUUCUUGCAACUUCAAAUGCAAUCAUCAACUGUAGAAAUGGGCUUAUGCAACUCACUUUUGGUAAUAUGACCCUGGAUCUCAAUAUUUUCUAUAUGUCUAAAAAGCAAAUCACUCCAGAAGAAGAAGAAGGACCAGAAGAGUUAUGUAUAAUUGAUACUUUGGUGGAGGAGCACUGCAAUCAGCAUAUGCAAGACAAGUUGAGUGAAAGUCUUGUGGAUAUUGAGGAAGGUUUUUCUGAAUCUCCUAUUGGGCUUGCUACUCUACAAAGUUGGAGAAAGAUAGAAGGAAUUCUACCUCUGUUCAAUGAAGAAGAUGAGGCAGCUGUUGAAAAAGAAAUUCCAAAACUCAAUCUGAAGCCUUUACCUGUGGAGCUGAAAUAUACAUAUCUUGAAGAAAAUAAUCAAUGUCCUGUCGUAAUCUCUUCAUCUCAAACCAAGUCUCAAGUGAAGGAUGCAAGCUUCAAAUGGGAUCCGGGCAAACUGAAUCAGGAAGGGCAAAAAGUUCUGAUGUAUGACACAAGACUCCAUAUCUUUCCUGGGAAGCUCAAGUCAAGGUGGAUUGGUCCAUUUGUUAUUCACCGAGUAUAUUCCAAUGGAGUGGUGGACUUAUUGAAUUCCAAUGGCAAGGACAGCUUUAGAGUCAAUGGAUAUCGUCUUAAGCCGUUCAUGGAGUCAUUCAAAUCAGAAAAGGAGGCAAUCAACCUCCUUGAACCUCAAAAAGCUUAAGUGAAAAGGGUUUGCUGGGCGUGGUUUUACCACAGUCCAAAAUUUUUGUAAAUUUUGUAAAUUUUCAAGUUGUUUCCAUACUUUUGAUCUUAGUUUUUGAUUUUAAAUCAUGUUUUUAGGUGUGUUUUAAUCGUUUUAUAUGAUCCCAGGCGGAAGAAAUUUCAAGGGGAUUGAAAAGAAAAAAAUCGGGUCGAAAUUGGAGCCGAAACAGAGCAAAAACAGGGGAAAAACAGAGCUCUGCGAAAUUUCGCAGGGUGAAGGAAACUUCUGCGAAAUUGGCAUUUUGCUGCCAACCCAUUCCGCAGCACUAUAGAAGCCUCUGCGAGUGUGUUUCGCAAUUGCGAAAGUGGAUUUGGCACACGAGUGCCACUUCGCAGCACAGUGACAUCAAUUUCGCAGCUGCGAAACGCGUUGCGAAAUGAAAAAGCGUGAUUUCGCACCAAAAGUCCUAUUCCGCAGAGUAUUUCGCAAUUGCGAAAGUGGUUUUGGCACACGAGUGCCACUUCGCAGCACAGUGACAUCAAUUUCGCAGCUGCGAAACUCACUGCGAAGUUGCUGCGAAAAUGGCAAGUUGCUGCGAAAUUGGCGUUUUGUUGCGGAACUUAAACUGACCCCUGGGCUUCCGUUUUUCCUAUUUAUACCGGUCAAAAAUGCUGCGAAAAGGGUUUCAAAAAUCAGAGAGCCAUUCUCGCAGCCCCUUCAUCUUCUUCGCCAAGCCACGCCGUCCGAACCUCCGGUCGUCUUCUCCGCUUAGCAACGCCGGCCAAAGAUCGAUAUCUCCAAAAUGGCACGAACGCGAGGAGCAAAAUCUUCAUCUCCUUCGAACCGCAAAAGGAGUCUGCGAAAGGAGCCAAGUCCAGGCUCUGUUCCAGAACCUGCUCCCCAGCCUUCGCCGUCGAGACCACAACCUUCUCCAGUGAAGCCGGCGCCACCAAAGCCGCCGGCAAGACGAUAUUUGACAAGAUCAGGCGGUCAGCCAUUGAAGAAGAAGCCCAGGGUUGAGAGCUCUGAACCAAUUGAUUUGACUGAGCAAUCCCCUGAGCAGUCCCCAAAUCCUUCACCGGUUCAAACUCCAGUGCCGUCACCGGUUCCCUCGCCAAUUCCCUCACCUGAAGCAACUCCAAUUUCAUCGCCGGUACCAUCUCCGGCACCCCAAGAAAAAGCUCAGGAGCCUCCAGCGCCAAUUCCAGAGCCCCAAAUUGCAGCUGAAGCACCUCUGGAAGAAGUGAUCCGAAGGCCAUUGCUCCCCCAGCCCCCAAUCGAAGGAAACUUGGAUUGUCGAACACGGGCAUUCCAUUCUGAAUUGAGCUUCGACUUAGCAGCAUUCAGAGUGAGGCCAGAGCUUGCCCAAUCCUUCCAGCUGCUGAGGAGAUAUCAUAUGGAGCAUCUGCUAGCUCCAAGGGAUUUUUUCUAUCCCCGGGUAGUCACGGACUUCUACCAGACCAUGACAACCAAAGAAGUAAGAAAUCCAACUCUGAUCCAUUUCAUAAUUGAUGGAAGGCAUGGUAUUUUGGGAGCAAGACACAUUGCUGAAGCUCUGCAAAUUCCUUUUGAGCCAACCCAAUUCGACAAUUUUAAAGCUUGGACAAAUCCAACUGAGUUAGAGAUGGUUCGCACACUAACCAGGGGAGCUGCAAAUCGGUCACACCUGUUGAGGGGGGAGCUACCUCCAGUGAUGUUUUUGAUUGAUGCCUUUUUGAGGCAUAAUAUCUAUCCCCUGCAGCAUUGGACCCAAAGAAGGGGAGUUCUCUUGGAAGCUCUAUACAAGAUGUCUGAAGGAUUCUUCUUUGGGCCUCAUCAUCUGAUCAUGGCAGCCCUUCUAUACUUUGAGGAAAAGGUUCACAAGAAGAAGCUUCAAAGAGCAGAUUGCAUUCCACUCCUCUUCCCACGGCUGCUAUGCCAAGUUUUGGAGCAUCUCGGAUACCCCUCUGAGCCUCAGUAGGAAAGAAAGAAAAUAUGCCGUGAGCCAUUUACCCUUGAUAAAUGGAAUAAUAUGACGGCCUACAAAAUUGAUCAGCCUGGGCAGCCUCAGCCAGCAGCAAGGAGAGCCUCCCCAAGACAUCCACCUGAAGGUAUUACACUUGCUACUCCUGCCAUCCCUCGAGCUUCACCAGCUGCACCUGCUCCAUCACAGCCAUCCACAUCAGCUGAGCCGAGGAUGGCCAUCCCUAUAUCCGAAUAUCGAGAGCUGUGCCGUGCAUUGGAGACUCUUACAGCUUCCCAGAGCAAUNNNNNNNNNNNNNNNNNNNNNNNNNNNNNNNNNNNNNNNNNNNNNNNNNNNNNNNNNNNNNNNNNNNNNNNNNNNNNNNNNNNNNNNNNNNNNNNNNNNNACCUAAAGGUAUUACACUUGCUACUCCUGCCAUCCCUCGAGCUUCACCAGCUGCACCUGCUCCAUCACAGCCAUCCACAUCAGCUGAGCCGAGGAUGGCCAUCCCUAUAUCCGAAUAUCGAGAGCUGUGCCGUGCAUUGGAGACUCUUACAGCUUCCCAGAGCAAUCUUGCUCAGGAGUUGGCAGCCAUCAAAGCAUGCCAGGAGCAGAUGUUAGCCUCUCAGGCUCAACAAGCUGCCAUCCUAAGGCAGCUUCAAGUCCAUUUCGAUCUGCCACAAGCUGUAGAGCCUUCCACUGAGACUCCACCAGAGCCACACUCUCAGCCUUCAGAGUCUCAAGCUCCAGAGCCCGAAGCCUCAGCUGAUCCACCUACUGGAGAGGCAGAUCCUUCUGCCUAGCACUAUCACCCCACUUAUCAGACAUUAUAUAUAUUUGCUGUUUAUGUUUUUAUGCAUGUUUGUUUUGUUUUAGUUGAAAUGAAAUCCCAGUAUUUUGGUAUAUAUAUGGGAUUCCUUGUGUUACUUGUCUUUAGCAUUGUAAUCAAAUGAACUCAAAGUAAUACAAGUUGAAUAUUUCUUGUUAAAAAUUAGCAUUAAGUUCUCCUUAUUUCCUUUUCUCACAUAUUCUAUUCUUUUUGAAACAUAUGGUUUUCCCCAAUCAAUAUUCGAAUUUGAUAGCAGCAUGGAGGUACCACUUCCUCCUUUUUAUUACAGUCACUCAAAUCACAUUGAGGACAAUGCUCAGUUCGGUUGGGGGGUAUGAGGAAGGAAGUAUUCUAAACCUUUUUGGUAUUGCAAUUAUAUUGGUUAAUUAGUUGUAGUUUUUACUUUUUACUCUAGUGUUACUCUAUUCUCCAUGAAUUUUGAGGAAAAAUUUUCAAAUUAAACCAAGAGAAAUUGAAAUGUUGUUUUUCACUUGACUUAGAGUAUGGAUUAUGCUUACUAAAGUAGUUCAAUUGUUGAAACUUCUACUGAAAUUGAAUUGAGUUCUUCUACUUUAAGCUAUCCACACACUGUGCACAUUAGUUUCCGAUUAUAACAUGAAAAGCUAUUUCCCUCUUGACUUAGUAUAAUUUUGAAACUUGGUAUAUUUGACCUCAUUUGAUAAAAAUUGAAACACCCUGCAAAAGGCCAAUGAGCCUUUGAAAUAAAGAAAGUUGUUUGCUUGCCUUGAAACCCGAGCAAGGUCUGAGGGGUAUAUGGUGAAAGCCUUUAAAGCCUGGUGCCCUAAGCCUUAAUUGGUUGGGAGUCACCGACCUCAAUGCUCGUUACAAGGGUGAAUAGGUAGAGUUAGCAUAUGGUAGAUGCUUGGGUAUUAGAAAAUUCAUUCUUAAAAGUCCGGGGAAAAAUCCGAGGAGUUAGUGGUUGAAAGAUCCUUAAACUUGGUGCCCUAAACCUUAUUGGGUUGGGAGUCAUCGAUGGACCCCCAUUACAUNNNNNNNNNNNNNNNNNNNNNNNNNNNNNNNNNNNNNNNNNNNNNNNNNNNNNNNNNNNNNNNNNNNNNNNNNNNNNNNNNNNNNNNNNNNNNNNNNNNNGAAACCCUUUAAACCCUGGGGCCCUAAGCCUUUUUUGGUGGGGAGUCCCCGACCCCAAUGCUCUUUACAAGGGGGAAUAGGAAGAGUUAGCAUUUGGUAGAGGUUUGGGUAUUAGAAAAUUCUUUUUUAAAAGUCCGGGGAAAAAUCCGGGGGGUUGGUGGUUGAAAAAUCCUUAAAAAUUGGGGCCCUAAACCUUAAUUGGUUGGGGGUCUUCGGGGGGCCCCCCUUACAUGGGCAAGUUAGAAAGGGUACCCCAUAAAGGUGCCUUUAAAAAAAAAAAAAAAAAAAAAAAAAAAAAAAAAAAAAAAAAAAAAAAAAAAAAGAUGAAAGUGUGUUCUUUUCUUAUUGAUUUUGGUCAGGUUGCUAAAGUGUUGAAAAGAGUUAGGUUGGGGGGUGAGAUUAGUAGCAUAUUAUUCUCGGAACCUAAGGAACCAAUACACAUAGAUUUUUGUGGAAGAUUGAAGUUUAGUUCUUAGAAAGUAGAAAUGAUUUUAAAACUUCAGUUUGCAUAAUGCACUCCCUUGAUUGACAGUGUUUAGCAUAAGUGUUAUGACUCUUGUUGAGAUUUGGGUUUGUAUUUCUUUAAUGAUUCAUGUGAGAAAUAGAUCAUCAUGCCACUUAAGAAUUAUUUUCCUUUUAGCAUGAUGUUGUAAAUUUUAGAUUAGUUUGCUAUUUAUUUUUUAUUUUCUCUCCUAUAUUGCUAAGGGACUAGCAAUAUGUCGGUUGGGGGGAGUGAUUACUACUCAAAAAGUGCUAUUUGAUAGCCUUUAAUUAAUCCUUUUUAACACUUUUGAGUAGUAGUUUAGGCCUUUUAACUCAAUUGACAUGUUAAGGAUCCUUUAAAGCAAUUUUGAUCACUUUGUGCAAGUUUUGGUGUUUUUGUUAGUAUUGUGAUCACCAAAGCAAGUCAAGAAUGAGGAGAGAUAUGAGGAAUCUUGGGCAAAUCUUAGAAUUCAAUUGCCAAGAGUGAAUCCGGAUUGCAAGGAGAAAAAGCAAAGAGAAUCUGUCAUGGAGCAUAUUCUUGAUGACAGUCGUAGCAGCCACUUUUGGGGCACUUCCUGAAGUCCAAAUGAUGCAAGCUAUAUACCAUUUCAAAGCUCAGGAAGUCAAAAAUCCAAUGCUUCAAACGGUGCGCGAUUUGGAGUUGAAACGAAGAAGUUGCAGCCAUUACAAGCCAGUCACUCUGAAGUGUUGCGGAAUCAGCCUUUUGUUGCGAGAAUUUCGCAACACUUUUGUACAGUAAGGUGUUUCUCCUUCUGACGAUGCACGAACCAUGCCGCGAGAAGGGAGCUGGAAACUUCAAGGUGGAAGCCAACUUCGCAGCCCUAUGAAGACAGCUUGGUCUUGCGAAAUAAUUUCGCAGCCCUCUUGGGUGUCUGCGAAAUUUCGCAGGCACCACUUUUCUCCUGCGAAAUGGCUCCUGAAGCCUCCCGAAGCUUGCUACCGACAUUGGGAGAUAUUUUCCAUUAGAUUUUUGUUGUCUAAAUCCCAAAAUACUCCUUGUAAACCACCAAUUACAUGAUUCCUUAGUUUUUAAGUUAGUAAAAAGACCAAAUAUCUAUGUAACAAUUAGUUUUAUAUUGGUUUGAUAUAAAUACCUCUCGGGAGCCUGUUCUCGGGGAGGAGUUCUUUCGGUAACCAUUUGGUAAGCAAGUAAAGUCUUUUCUUUCUACUGCCUUACAUUCUCACUUUGUAUUUUCAUUUUAUUUCUAAGUUAUGAAUUCUCUGAGGAGUUUUCCCCAGAGAAUGAGUAACUAAACCUCCAAUUCCUUGGAGCUAAGGUUGCCGGGGAAGGUUCCAAGUGCAAGAAUGCAAAGCUCUGUGGUUUUAGCUAGUAAUGAAGAGGAAGUGAAAUCCUUUAGUGAUUUCAAUGUUUUUAGUUAACUUAAAACACCUUGGAGUCACCUAGGCCAACACUUGGUAAGGCAAGUGAUUUCCAACCGUGGAAAUGCACUAGUUUACCCCUUGCGAGCCUCUGGUAGGUGACUUCAAGGUAGGAUUUUCUGGAAUUACCAACACUUGGUAAGCUUUUGGACUCUUAGGAGGCAUCCAUUAGUUAUCUCUUGCGAGUUUGUGAAGGGAAGUCCAAGGUUAAAGAUCACCUUGAAUGGUAAGUGCUCGUGAGAGGCAUGAACCAUUGCAAGUUGCAUCAGUGAGAGAAUUAAAGUGAAAUCUAAUUGAAGGAGUCUCUGUACAUCACCGGUUAGAGACUUGACUCUAAGUUGAAUCUCUAAUGCGAGGAAAUGAACCAUCUGACCGGAGCUAUGUCUUUUGCAUGAGGAACCACCCCAGUGAACCUAAAUCUCCAAGGAAUGCUUUUCUUCCUAAAUUAUUCCAAACUUCUGUUAAGUUAGUUAGUUUAAAUCUCAACCUUUACCAAUCAAAGUUUGUAUUUUAUUUCUUAAACUAACCGUGAAAUGAAACAAAACCAAUUCACUUGGAAUUGGUAUCCUUGAUUGCUUGCAAAUCAUUCCCAGUGAACGAUCCUUAGAGCCACUAUACUAUAGUAGCUUUGUAUUUGCUACCCUAGUGUAUGGUGUUAUAGGUAUAAAUUUUGUUGAUCACUUCCUCAAUCAAGGAGCACCAGCUGAACACAAAUCAGCUGAGACACCAAUUGGGCAUGAGUCAAUGUUGACUAGGCUUCAGAUAUAGAUGAUUGCCACUCUACCUUUGGCUAUUGCUUUUUUCUUGGUCUAAAUCUCAUUUCAUGGCAUUCUCGCAAGUAACGUACCAUCUUUAAGUCAUCUAUUGAAGCUGAAUAUCAUAGUGUUGCUACAUUGGUGGCCAAAAUUUCAUGGCUCCAAUAUCUUUUUACAGAACUCCAGAUCACUCCUUCCACCACCCUGAUAAUAUGUGCGACAACUUAAGUAUAGUUCACCUUACAAAAAACCUAAUGCUUUAUCCCUGCCUUAAGCAUUAAGAUUGAUCUUUACUUUGUUCAGGAAAAGGUUUUUUAGAAGCAAAUCCAUAUCUACCAUGUUCUCUUAUCAGCCCAACUUGCAGACCUAUUCCAUAAAGUUGUUCCUAACUCUUUAUUCCUUAGUAUGCCAAAAAAACUCAGUGUCACUUAAGGCUCCCAUUGAGUUUAAAGGAGAUUGUUAGGGAAGAUUAGUUUAGUUGCGCUUUAUAGUUGUUACAUCUGUUGAUUAGUUAGGAUGUAGCUUGGUUAGUUCUCUAUUUGUUACAACAAACUCUUCAAAUAGUUACAGACUACUUACUACUCAAAGAACCAUGCUUGUUUUGUAGAAUGAAGACAAAUAAAAAAUCCAGAAGGGACAGAUAAUCUUUUUGUUCCAAUUUUGCUAUAUAUAUAUUUAUUUAUUUCAAACAAAGAUUAAUAUGCAUAGAAUGGUUAAUUGAUGUUGUUAGGUAUCUCACAGUUAGAGAGAUUGUUAGAAAGUUAGAAAAGUUAUUAAAAUCUUUGUUAAAUAAUUAGUUAAAUGGUUUGUGUAACUUCGAUAUAAAAACAAUACGAUUAAAACUUAAAAAUGAAUAAGUAAAAAACAAAUUUUUAAGUCAUCUCCAAGGUAAAAAAUUUAUUGAUAAUUUUGUUGCUAAUUUUGCAGCAAUUGGAGAACUUGUAGCAAAAAUAAAAUAAAAUCUUGCAACUUCUUGGAGCAGAUUAUAACUUUAUAGUUGCUUCCUUUAUAGUUUGUGAAAAUGAUAUUUCUUUUCAUUUAGCCCACAACAUACUUCUUACUCAUGAACAACGUUUGUGCAUUCAAAACUCUAUAACAAAAUGAGAUAAUAUCUAUGCUAAUAUGGUUGCCACACAAAGGCGAAACUUCAACAACAUAAAAAACCAUAACAAUAAAGGAAAUAAUCAUUUUAACAAUAGAAAUAAUUUUGGAAAAAAUCAAUCUAGUGUUUGUGGUUAAGGCAAUUGAAGCAUAGUGACAACACCAUGGGAAAUUUGGGCACAUUGUCCUUAGUUGCUAUCAUCAUUUUGAAAUAAACUUUCAAUUACACUACUUCAACUAUCACCAAUAACAUUGCUUCAACAAAUAGCACUAAUAGUAAUUAGAUGCGAGCUAUAGUUACUUCUUUAUCUACUGUAAAUGAUGAAUUUAGGUUCCUUGAUACUGGUACAACAUUAUCUGUCUCAAAGUACUAGUAUACUCUUAAGUGUUCAAUCAUACUGGGAAAAUGACAAAGAGAUAAUUGGUAAUGGUAAGAAACUUUCCACCUUUAUGUUGGUACUAGGUUAUUUGGUUAUUCUCUUAAAACCUUUCAAUUAAAGAAAGUUUUUCAUGGUUCUUUUGUUGCUUCUAAUCUCAUUAGUAUCUCUAAAUUUUGCAUUGACAAUAAUCGAUUUCUUGAAUUCCAUCCCCAAUUCUUUCUUGUUAAGGAUCAUGUUAUGAGGAAAGCUCAUCUUAAAGGCCAACUUGAAAAUGGUUUGUACUAAUACUUUAAAACAUGACCAAUCAUUAAGCCGAAAAAGUUAUCAGUUCAUGGUUCAAUGGUCGGAUUAAUGGUUUAACGAUGGUUGAAUCAGUAACAUCAUAAAUAUAUAAUUUCUUAAAAUUAAAUAUAUAUAUAAUUUUUAAUAAUAUUUUAUUUUUAUAUUUGAUAUGUCAAAUUAAAUGAUAAAAAAUAAAUAUAAAUGCAUUAAUAGAUUAUAUUUUAUUAAAUAGAAAUGUACAAUAUUUAAGAUGAAAAGAAAAUUAUAAUAUUUAAUUUUAUCUACAUAUUUGUGUAUUUUUUUUAUAUUUUAAAUGUUUAAAAACUAUUAUAUUAAUUAAUUUAUAUUAUUUUCAUAUUUAUCAUUAAUAAUUAUUAUCAGUAAAUGUAUAAAUAAAUAUUUAUAUGAAAAAAAUUGAAAUAAAAAAUAUAUAAAUAUUUUUUUAUAACAUUUAUCAAAUUGAUUGUGUAGCACAAUGGUCAUGUGUUCAUUUUGCCAACCAUCAGUACAUAGUUCUAAUCAUCACCAUGCAAUUCUUUUCUAUUAUAACCAAAAUUUAUCCCACAUCAAAAUAUCACAAACCAUAUAUGUGAUAUAAAUACCUUGCCCAUUCAAUGAACAGGUAAGUGUCAUAGUGGUUUGGACUUUUGCCCAUUUAAUGUAAUGUACAUGCAAAUAGUGGGUAACUGUUUUGUACAAGUUCCCCACAAGAUCUAUUUAGACAACUGUACCUUUAGCUUUCUUCAUUUCUAAUCUUGAUGUGUUUCAUACUAGGAAAUUAAAUAAUAUGGUUGGACUUUGUCCUAAAAAUAUUGUUUUUUGUGCUUGCCAAUAUGUAAAAACCCAUAGAUUACCAUUUUCAUUAUUUGAAUGUAGAGCUACUCAUUUUUUUGCUUUAGUUCAUACUGACUUGUGGGGUCUUACCCCUAUUGUUUCCACAAAUGGUGCAAGAUAUUUUUACUAUUCAUUAAUGAUUUUUCUUGAUUUUCUUGGCUUUAUCCUUUACAUGCUAAAGAUCAGACUUUGGCUACCUUCAUUAAAUUCAAACCUUUAAUAAAAAAUCAAUUAAAUACUCAUAUACAUUGUUUACAAUAUGAUAAUGGAGGUGAAUUCAAAGCAUUUAUAGCAUUUCUUGCUUUAUAUGAGAUUGAAAAUUGUUGUUUUUACCCUAAAAUACCUAAACAAAAUGGUAGGGAUGCACGUAAGAUGAGACACAUAAUAGAAACUAGUUUACCACUCUGAGCUACUAUUUCUUUACCAUUGAAAUUUUAGCUUUAUGCAUUUCACACUACCAUAGUUCUUAUUAAUUGCAUGCUUACCAUAGUACUCCAACUUCAGUCACCAUUUCUGAAUUAUCAUCAUUUAAAAAAUUUUAGAUGUCUUUGCUAUCCCUAUGUUUGUCCAUAUUAUAAAUGUAGACUCUUAUAUCAUUUGGUCCAAUGUGUCUUCCUUGGCCAUAACACAUUUCACAAAGGUUACUUGUGCUUAGAUCACAACUCUAGUUGAGUUAUGGGCAUAUUUGGGUGCAAUAUAUUCUAUCUUAUCUUUUACUUAACUAGAAUAUGAUAUAUGUUAUAUAUCCUAUCAUAUAUGUGAUGCAAAUACCUUGCCCAUUUAAUGAACAAGCAAGCGACGUGGUGGGUUCGAUCCUUGCCCAUUUAAUGUGCAUGCAAGUAGUGUAUAACUGGUUUGUACAAAUUCCCCACAAGAUUUGUUCAAACAACUUCACCCUUAGCUCUCUUCAUUUCUAAUCUUAAUGUGCUUCCUACUAGGAAUUUAAAUAAUGUGGUUCAACUUUAUCCUAAAAAUAUUGUUUUUUUGUGUUUUCUAAUAUGCAAAAAACCAUAGAUUACCAUUUUCAUUAUCUAAGUGUAAAGCCAUUCACUCCAUUGCUUUAGUUCAUAUUGACUUGUGGGGUCUUACCCCUAUUGUUUUCACAAUUGGUGCAAUAUAUUUUUUACUAUUCAUUAAUGAUUUUUCAGAGUUUUUUGGCUUUAUCCUUUACAUACUAAAGAUCAGGCUUUAGCUACCUUCAUUAAGUUCAAAACAUUAGUCGCAAAUCAAUUUAAUUCUCAUAUACAUUAUUUACUAUCUUAAAACGAAGGUGAAUUCAAAGCAUUUGCAACAUUUCUUGCUUUAUAUGAGAUUGAAAAUCAUUGUUCUUACCCUAAAAUAUCUGAACAAAAUGAGACACAUAGUAGAAGCUAGUUUUCCACUUUGAGCUAUUGCUUCUUUACCAUUGAAAUUUUGGCUUUAUACAUUUUGCAUUAUUAGUUGUUAUUAAUCACAUGCUUACCAUAGUACUCCAACUUUAGUCACUCUUUCAAGUUCUCUUUAGAAAACAACUAGAUUAUCAUCAUUUCAAAAAUUUGAGUUGUCUCUACUAUCCCUAUAUUUUUCCAUAUAAUAAAUGUAAUUUCCUAUAUCAUCCAGUUCAAUGUGUCUUCCUUGGCUAUAACACAUUUCACAAAGGUUACUUGUGCUUAGAUCAUAAUUGUAGCUGAGUUAUGGGCACAUUUGGGUGCAAUAUAUUCUAUCCUACCUUUUACUGAAGUAGAAUAGGAUAUGUGUGAUAUAAAUACCUUGUCUUUAUAAUGAACAAACAAGUGGCAUAGUGGUGUGGACCCUUUCCCAUUUAAUGUAAUGUACAUGCCAAUAGUGGAAAACUAUUUUGUACAAGUUCCCCACAAGAUUUAUUCAAACAAUUGCACCCUUAGCCCUCUUCACUUCUAAUCCUGAUAUAUUUCCUACUAGGAAUUUAAAUAAUAUGGUUGGACUUUGUCCUAAAAAUAUUGUUUUUUGUGCUUGCCAAUAUGUAAAAAACCAUAGAUUACCAUUUUCAUUAUCUGAAUGUAGAACUGCUCACUCUUUUGCUUUAGUUCAUACUGACUUGUGGGGUUUUAUUGUUUCCACAAUUGGUGCAAGUUAUUUUUUACUGUUCAUUAAUGAUUUUUCUUAGUUUUCUUGCCUUUAUCCUUUACAUACUAAAGAUCAGACUUUGGCUACCUUCAUUAAGUUCAAAACUUUAAUAAAAAAUCAAUUCAAUUCUCAUAUACAUUGUUUACAAUAUGAUAAUGAAGGUGAAUUCAAAGCAUUUGUAGCAUUUCUUGUUUUAUUUGAGAUUGAAAAUUGUUGUUCUUACCUUAAAAUAUCUAAACAAAAUGACAGGGCUGAACGUAAGAUGAGACACAUAGUAGAAACUAGUUUUACACUUUGGGCUACUGUUUCUUUACCAUUGAAAUUUUGGCUUUAUACAUUUUGCAUUAUUAGUUGUUAUUAAUCACAUGCUUACCAUAGUACUCCAACUUUAGUCACUCUUUCAAGUUCUCUUUAGAAAACAACUAGAUUAUCAUCAUUUCAAAAAUUUGAGUUGUCUCUACUAUCCCUAUAUUAUUCCAUAUAAUAAAUGUAAUUUCCUAUAUCAUCCAUUCCAAUGUGUCUUCCUUGGCUAUAACACAUUUCACAAAGGUUACUUGUGCUUAGAUCAUAAUUGUUGUUGAGUUAUGGGCACAUUUGGGUGCAAGAUAUUCUAUCCUACCUUUUACUGAACUAGAAUAGGAUAUGUGUGAUAUAAAUACCUUGUCUUUUUAAUGAACAAACAAGUGGCAUAGUGGUUUGGACCCUUUCCCAUUUAAUGUAAUGUACAUGCAAAUAGUGGACAACUAUUUUGUGCAAGUUCCCCACAAGAUUUAUUCAAACAAUUGCACCCUUAGCCCUCUUCACUUCUAAUCCUGAUGUAUUUCCUACUAGGAAUUUAAAUAAUAUGGUUGGACUUUGUCCUAAAAAUAUUGUUUUUUUGUGCUUGCCAAUAUGUAAAAAACCAUAGAUUACCAUUUUCAUUAUCUGAAUGUAGAACUACUCACUCUUUUGCUUUAGUUCAUACUGACUUGUGGGGUCUUAUUGUUCCCUCAAUUGGUGCAAGAUAUUUUUUAUUGUUCAUUAAUGAUUUUUCUUAGUUUUCUUGGCUUUAUCCUUUACAUACUAAAGAUCAGACUUUGGCUAUCUUCAUUAAGUUCAAAACUUUAAUAAAAAAUCAAUUCAAUUCUCAUAUACAUUGUUUACAAUAUGAUAAUGGAGGUGAAUUCAAAGCAUUUGUAGCAUUUCUUGUUUUAUGUGAGAUUGAAAAUUGUUGUUCUUACCUUAAAAUAUCUAAACAAAAUGACAGGGCUGAACGUAAGAUGAGACACAUAGUAGAAACUAGUUUUACACUUUGGGCUACUGUUUCUUUACCAUUGAAAUUUUGGCUUUAUACAUUUUGCAUUAUUAGUUGUUAUUAAUCACAUGCUUACCAUAGUACUCCAACUUUAGUCACUCUUUCAAGUUCUCUUUAGAAAACAACUAGAUUAUCAUCAUUUCAAAAUUUUGAGUUGUCACUACUAUCCCUAUAUUUUUCCAUAUAAUAAAUGUAAUUUCCUAUAUCGUCCAAUCCAAUGUGUCUUCCUUGGCUAUAACACAUUUCACAAAGGUUACUUGUGUUUAGAUCAUAAUUGUAGCUGAGUUAUGGGCACAUUUGGGUGCAAUAUAUUCUAUCCUACCUUUUAUUGAACUAGAAUAGGAUAUGUGUGAUAUAAAUACCUUGUCCUUCUAAUGAACAAACAAGUGGGAUAGUGGUUUGGACCCUUUCCCAUUUAAUGUAAUGUACAUGCAAAUAGUGGACAACUAUUUUGUACAAGUUCCCCACAAGAUUUAUUCAAACAAUUGCACCCUUAGCCCUCUUCACUUCUAAUUCUGAUGUAUUUCCUACUAGGAAUUUAAAUAAUAUGGUUGGACUUUGUCCUAAAAAUAUUAUUUUUUGUGUUUGCCAAUAUGUAAAAAACCAUAUAUUACCAUUUUCAUUAUCUGAAUGUAGAACUACUCACUCUUUUGCUUUAGUUCAUUCUGACUUGUGGGGUCUUAUUGUUUCCACAAUUGGUGCAAGUUAUUUUUUACUAUUCAUUAAUGAUUUUUCUUAGUUUUCUUGACUUUAUCCUUUACAUACUAAAGAUCAAACUUUGGCUAUCUUCAUUAAGUUCAAAACUUCAAUAAAAAAUCAAUUCAAUUCUCAUAUACAUUGUUUACAAUAUGAUAAUGGAGGUGAAUUCAAAGCAUUUGUAGCAUUUCUUGUUUUAUGUGAGAUUGAAAAUUGUUGUUCUUACCUUAAAAUAUCCAAACAAAAUGACAGGGCUGAAUGUAAGAUGAGACACAUAGUAGAAACUAGUUUUACACUUUGGGCUAUUGCUUCUUUACCAUUGAAAUUUUGGCUUUAUGCAUUUCACAUUUCCAUAGUUCUUAUUAAUCGCAUGCUUACCAUAGUACUCCAACUUUAGUCACCCCUUCAAGUUUUCUUUAGAAAACAACUAAAUUAUCACCAAUUAAAAAAUUUUAGAUGUCUCAGCUAUCCUUAUAUUCAUCCAUAUAAUAAAUGUAAACUCCUAACAUACACAUUUCAAAAAUCGCCAAUAUCUCUCGAUAUGUCAACUAUAUCAAAUGGUCAACGCGGGUCAAUAGGUGGUCAAAUGCGCUACAGUACCCCUUAAAAAUGCCUUGCAAUUUUAUUGUUAAGGGGACUCGAACCCCAAACAAAAGACUUAACUUUUAGCUCAACUUACCACUAGGACAAGUUUGCCCCUUGUUAAAUAUAUUGCACCAAACAUAUAUAUUCAAAGUCAUCAUAUAAAAAAAUUAUUAAAAGAAUAUUUUAGAGAACAAAUUAAUUAUAAUUAUUUUAUAAUUAAAUGCAAAAAAAUAUUUUAAUUGAUUACCAAAAAUAUAAAAAUUAUCAUGAUAAUUUUCUUCAUAGUGUUUUUAAUAUCAUUAAUAGAUUAAUUAAAUAUUAAAAAAUUGUACAUAUAUCACAAUUUAUUUUAUAUCAUUUAAUACAAUUGAAUUAAAUGGAUCAUAAUUUUAAUAUUAAAUUUAUUUUAAAAUUAAACAUAUUAUAAUCAAAUAUCACAAUAUUAUUAUGAAAUAAUAUUUAAUGUAAUUUAAUAAUAAAUGUACACUUAUAAAAUUCAUAUUUUUUAUUGAUGCAUACGAUAUUAUAAUCAAAUAUAAUGAAUCAUAUUAUACAUAUAUCAAAUUCUUUAAUAAAACAACUUUAAAAUAUCUAUUAUACUUCUAAUUACAUUUUUAUGAGGUUUUUCUUAUAUAUAUAUAUAUAUAUAUAUAUAUUAGGUUGUUUUUAUGGUUAGUUUGACCCAAGGUUUUUUACAUCUACCAAAUUUCUAAGAGACUUUAUAAGUGGUCUUCGCACAUAUAAUUGCUUGUUGUUGAUUGCUUUCUGUUAUCUCUUGUUGAUUCAAGAGAUAAAAAUUAAAAAUUGGGAAACUAAUUGCUUGAUUACCUAUUCCCCCUCCCUCAAGUAGUUUCGUAAUCAAGAUCAGACUUAUUUAAGUAUAAUAUAUAAACUAGCAUACAACUCUAUGCCUAAAAGUCAUUUAAUUGAAUUACCAUUGAUGCACUUGAUAUAAAUGUUACUAAUAGAACCCUCUAGGAAGACAAAUAAAGGUCAUUAAUUAGUGUAUAUAUAUAUAUAUAUAUAUAUAUAUAUAUAUAUAUAUAAUGUUAUAACCUUGGUUCCAUCUUAAGUUUGGAUCCAAUCUAUGCUUUCAAAUGUGUUAUCAAAAGCAAGUAAUUUGAUGUGAGUUGUUUUGAAGCUCUGAAUGGGCCUCAUCAUUUUCUAGUGAGUACAUUCCUACUUUCUUUUCGGCCCUCAUUGCAUGCCCUUGGACUUUCCUUUCUUUCUUAUCCAUAAGCCCAUUCAGUAAUUGGAUUUCUUGCCCAAGUGCAUUUUCAAAGGAUGCUUUGUGUUUACAUUAUUACGGAGUAUGACAAAUUUAGGUUAGUGUAAACCAUGCUUGGAAGAGUUUUGCAAAAGCAAGUUUGAAGCUCAAAUAUAAUUUAUUUAUUUAUUUAUUUUAAGGAUGUUUGAGAGAAUUUUCAAAUAUAAUUAUCAUAUUUCUUAACAUGAUUAAUAUGUGUUUUGGAAAAAUAGAGAGACAUGAGCAUUUGAGGAUAUAAAAGCAUAUAUUAUACUAGAUUAAUUUUUUAUACAAAUAUUAAUUAUAUCUUUGUUUUCUUAAUAAAAGUUUUUGUUAAAUAUGGUUUUCAAACAUAAAAAUCAAAGCUAUUGCAAAUAAAACUUAUAUAAAUAUAUUUCAAGUUUGGCACUCUCAAAGUAGAGUCCUAAGAAAUGGUGAGUUGGGUAAGGUCCUUUAUUGUCAUAAAAUUGUCUCCCUCAUGACUUGAACUUUGGCAGCUAAAGACAUUUACCAAAAUAUGACAAAAUUAAAUCUGAGGAACAAACUUGGAUCAACUCGAUCCCAUCCAAAUUUUUACCAAUUUUGGGGGGAAAAAAGUACCACAUUAGUGCCCUUAAUUUCAUUACAAUUUUGAACAAAGUAUGCUUUUUUAAUAUGUGCUUUUGAUGAUGAAAAGUGAAAAUAUAAAUACCUAAAUUUAAAGAUUAUAAAACCACUAGAUAUGACAAGUCUAAAAAUUCUAGGGAAUGUUUCAUUUAUAAAUUAUCUCUUCUUCUAGAUGUUCUUUUCUUCUUCUCCUACUGUUUUUGGCUAUCUUCUUUUAUGUGCUCUGGAAUAAGAUUACUCAAGUGUCCAUGGCCAGAAUGGAAGCUGUUACACCUCCACAUCAGCAAAGCUAGCUAUAUGACUUGCACGUACAUGAUCAUAUAUACAGUUCUCCCUAUUGAUCAUGUACUUGGCUACUUGUUCAUCUCACCCUCUUUGAGGUGUUGGCGAGAGCUAUUGGCCUCAGAUGAGGAGGUACUAUCCUUUCCAUACACAAAAAAUGGAAAAGAAGAAGACAAUGGAAACUGUGAGAAGAUAAGGAACAAAGCUACCUUAGAAAAUAUCUUGUUAGGUAUAUAGCUGAAAAAUACUAAUUUUUGAAACCCCUUGUAUCUCUCCGUGAGUUAGUUGUUACCAUUUGUGCAGUAUUCUCAACAUUACUGGCCUAACAAUUCAACCAUUAUUUCACCCAUUCAGUAAAUAUUCAUACUCCAGAAUCAUGCAAAGACUAUUUGUGAUGUUGCGGAUUUGACAUCUGCCCGAUUUAAUUUAACACAUACCUGAAGGUUUGCUCCCUCCAUACUUGGUGCCAAACUUGAGCACUUUAUUGCUUACAUACCACACAUGGCAAACAUCUAACCGUAGGAUGAUGAGUCUGAAAUUCUUGAAGCAAAGGAAAAAAGAAAGAAAAGAGAGUUACAGAGGAGUUUUAGUAUUACAUUGGUUGGAUCUUCAUCAGAAAUGUUUGCAGACCAAAAAAGCUAGAUGUUGUCACUGCUGAAUGAUACUUUGUAUAGGGAAGUUUGCCCAAGCACAUCAGUUUGAUGUUCCUAUUAUGCUUCUACAGUACCAACAAGAAAAAUGUUUUAGGGUUUAAUAGAGUCUGAGGGUUUUUUCCUUUUUAGCAAAAGAAAAGAGGAUUAGGAAUCAAGCAAUUCUGAUUAAAAUAGAUGAAAAAAGGCUUUGAUACUUAAUUAAGAGUUGUUUAACUCUGGACCUCUUCUUCUGUGCUUCCUUUUUUGGUUCCUUAAUUAACAAUAAAUUAUACUUACCAACCAAAAGAUGGAUAUGAUAUCAGACCUUAUGAUAUCAGUGGUUAGCUUAAGCUUUAAUCACCUUUUAAGUACAUGGUUAAAGAACUCCUCCAUUAUAACAACCAACAUGAUUAGAUAUGUGGGCCUCUAGCCUUUGAUAAAAUACAAAGUGAUCUUUCCAUACAGAUUAGACUGCAUUGUUUUUGACUUAUGCUACGGAAUUUUUGCUAAAGUGAAAUUAACGCCAAGGAUCAGCACAUACCUAUAAGUUGAUGCUGUACAAUCCAAGAACAGGUCAUUGAUGAGCAUCACUAGAUACACUUUCUCAGUUCAUGUCAAAACUAAUUUCCACCAUUUUUGUUAAUUUCAAGAGCCCCAUCAGUCGAUAUGAGCCACAGGAAAGUACAUCUUGAUAAAAUCAUGUCUUAUGCUAAGUUAAUUAUUAGGGCAAUUAAGCUCAAAUACUGAAACUAGGAAUAGAUUCAAACAGUGCAAAAAAUUACAAUUUUCAAAAGACACAUAUAUAAGGCUAAUUAAUUGAUCAAACAAGGAGUAAUUAAACAAAAGAAGAUUCUAAUCUUUUAGGGUUUUGGGUGCUUGCUAUGCAGAUACUAUUGUAUCACUUGGUUGAAAUGGUGCAACUUCAUAAACCUGAAGAUGGUAAAGUUUUUUAUCUGGUGUUGUCCAUUUAGAUUCCUUCUCUCUUUGGUUAACGUUUCUUUCCAUUUAGAAGUAAAAACUCAUGCUCCAAAGAUGGUAUAAAGCCUCAUGACUCAAGCAAUAUCCUACUCAAUUGAACAGAGAAAUAAUACUAGCUAACCAUAGUAAUAACAUGGCAUAUGAGAGUAGAAAAAAAGGAGUCUUGUCUCUUCAAAACAACGCAACAGUACACUCAUAUUUUUUUCCAUCAAUAUAUAUGGUUAUCAAAGAGGAAGUUCAGUCGAGUGCAUCAUCAACCAUGAAAGAAAAUAACACAACAAUCUCAAAACCCAACAAAGGAAAAGCAGGAGACAAUUCAUUACAGGAAACACCAGAUGUAGAUAUGAAAUGAUUAUUAAAAUUCUAUUUCCCAUUUGAGGUAGGGGAAGAACACUCGCACACUAACUCGGUUUCCACUUCCCGGAGGUGGAAGUUCCGGUGGCAGCCGCAGGCGGCGCAGGUGAGUGCACUGCUGGUUCCCUCUUCACCGCUCGCCAUGAACUCUCUGCACCCAUCAACAGCAUACCCUCCAACACCCGCAGCGUGAUUCUUCUGACACUCUCCAUACCUCACACUCCUCACUGUGAAAGAUGAAUUAGCUGAGCUUCUUGAUGGCUCAUCUCUCCUAAGCACAACUUGACGCUUCCUCAUCCUACAAGACCCCAAAUCUACUCUACCUUCUUCUCCACACCCACCAAGAAAACAGCUGCAAUUCUCCAAUUCUUCCAGAGAUCCAG
RNAcentral lists this long non-coding RNA (32257 nucleotides) under Vitis vinifera (wine grape). RNAcentral describes it as "long non-coding RNA (VVIN_LNC004900)". Lineage: Eukaryota; Viridiplantae; Streptophyta; Magnoliopsida; Vitales; Vitaceae. The record is from RNAcentral.